GGGACUCUCCGGGCGACAAGUCCAUACAUCGAGGCGACGGUUGCCAGGAACCCGGUGCGACUCCGGGACGGUCCCGCCACUGUGACCGUACGCGCGAACCGCUCACGCGCGCACGGAAGUCAGGAACUGACCCGUCGUCCUCCUGCCAU
This 149-nucleotide non-coding RNA is filed under the name Streptomyces aurantiacus. RNAcentral also lists the same sequence under 1 other name. The record is from RNAcentral. Lineage: Bacteria; Bacillati; Actinomycetota; Actinomycetes; Kitasatosporales; Streptomycetaceae.